Molecule: ribosomal RNA, 407 nt
Filed under: uncultured bacterium
Lineage: Bacteria
Description: partial 16S ribosomal RNA
Rfam family: Bacterial small subunit ribosomal RNA
Source: RNAcentral
AUUGAACGCUGGCGGCAGGCCUAACACAUGCAAGUCGAGCGGAGCGGCGGACGGGUGAGUAAUGUCUAGGAAUCUGCCUGGUAGUGGGGGAUAACGUCCGGAAACGGGCGCUAAUACCGCAUACUAUCAGAUGAGCCUAGGUGGGAUUAGCUAGUUGGUGGGGUAACGGCCGACCAAGGCGACGAUCCGUAACUGGUCUGAGAGGAUGAUCAGCCACACUGGAACUGAGACACGGUCCAGACUCCUACGGGAGGCAGCAGUGGGGAAUAUUGGACAAUGGGCGAAAGCCUGAUGCAGCCAUGCCGCGUGUAUGAAGAAGGUCUUCGGGUUGUAAAGCACUUUAAGUUGGGAGGCGUUACCAACAGAAGAAGCACCGGCUAACUCCGUGCCAGCAGCCGCGGUAAUAC